RNAcentral lists this ribosomal RNA (1371 nucleotides) under uncultured bacterium. Its description in RNAcentral is "bacterial SSU rRNA". It matches the Rfam family "Bacterial small subunit ribosomal RNA", at positions 28 to 1381 of the family's 1533-position model. The record is from RNAcentral.
GAUGAACGCUGGCGGCGUGCCUAAUACAUGCAAGUCGAGCGAACGGACGAGAAGCUUGCUUCUCUGAUGUUAGCGGCGGACGGGUGAGUAACACGUGGAUAACCUACCUAUAAGACUGGGAUAACUUCGGGGAACCGGAGCUAAUACCGGAUAAUAUUUUGAACCGCAUGGUUCAAAAGUGAAAGACGGUCUUGCUGUCACUUAUAGAUGGAUCCGCGCUGCAUUAGCUAGUUGGUAAGGUAACGGCUUACCAAGGCAACGAUGCAUAGCCGACCUGAGAGGGUGAUCGGCCACACUGGAACUGAGACACGGUCCAGACUCCUACGGGAGGCAGCAGUAGGGAAUCUUCCGCAAUGGGCGAAAGCCUGACGGAGCAACGCCGCGUGAGUGAUGAAGGUCUUCGGAUCGUAAAACUCUGUUAUUAGGGAAGAACAUAUGUGUAAGUAACUGUGCACAUCUUGACGGUACCUAGUCAGAAAGCCACGGCUAACUACGUGCCAGCAGCCGCGGUAAUACGUAGGUGGCAAGCGUUAUCCGGAAUUAUUGGGCGUAAAGCGCGCGUAGCGGUUUUUUAAGUCUGAUGUGAAAGCCCACGGCUCAACCGUGGAGGGUCAUUGGAAACUGGAAAACUUGAGUGCAGAAGAGGAAAGUGGAAUUCCAUGUGUAGCGGUGAAAUGCGCAGAGAUAUGGAGGAACACCAGUGGCGAAGGCGACUUUCUGGUCUGUAACUGACGCUGAUGUGCGAAAGCGUGGGGAUCAAACAGGAUUAGAUACCCUGGUAGUCCACGCCGUAAACGAUGAGUGCUAAGUGUUAGGGGGUUUCCGCCCCUUAGUGCUGCAGCUAACGCAUUAAGCACUCCGCCUGGGGAGUACGACCGCAAGGUUGAAACUCAAAGGAAUUGACGGGGACCCGCACAAGCGGUGGAGCAUGUGGUUUAAUUCGAAGCAACGCGAAGAACCUUACCAAAUCUUGACAUCCUUUGACAACUCUAGAGAUAGAGCCUUCCCCUUCGGGGGACAAAGUGACAGGUGGUGCAUGGUUGUCGUCAGCUCGUGUCGUGAGAUGUUGGGUUAAGUCCCGCAACGAGCGCAACCCUUAAGCUUAGUUGCCAUCAUUAAGUUGGGCACUCUAAGUUGACUGCCGGUGACAAACCGGAGGAAGGUGGGGAUGACGUCAAAUCAUCAUGCCCCUUAUGAUUUGGGCUACACACGUGCUACAAUGGACAAUACAAAGGGCAGCGAAACCGCGAGGUCAAGCAAAUCCCAUAAAGUUGUUCUCAGUUCGGAUUGUAGUCUGCAACUCGACUACAUGAAGCUGGAAUCGCUAGUAAUCGUAGAUCAGCAUGCUACGGUGAAUACGUUCCCGGGUCU